Molecule: transfer RNA, 72 nt
Filed under: Ipomoea nil (Japanese morning glory)
Lineage: Eukaryota; Viridiplantae; Streptophyta; Magnoliopsida; Solanales; Convolvulaceae
Rfam family: tRNA
About the family: Transfer RNA (tRNA) molecules are approximately 80 nucleotides in length.
Source: Rfam by way of RNAcentral
GUCGUUGUAGUAUAGUGGUAAGUAUUUUUGCCUGUCACGCGGGUGGCCCGGGUUCGGUUCUUGGCAACGGCG